GGGCCCAUAGCUCAGCUGGUAGAGCAGCCGGCUCAUAACCGGCCGGUCCCUGGUUCGAAACCGGGUGGGCCCACCA
This 76-nucleotide transfer RNA is filed under the name Atribacterota bacterium. RNAcentral describes it as "tRNA-Ile". It matches the Rfam family "tRNA". From Rfam's summary of the family: Transfer RNA (tRNA) molecules are approximately 80 nucleotides in length. Their secondary structure includes four short double-helical elements and three loops (D, anti-codon, and T loops). Further hydrogen bonds mediate the characteristic L-shaped molecular structure. tRNAs have two regions of fundamental functional importance: the anti-codon, which is responsible for specific mRNA codon recognition, and the 3' end, to which the tRNAs corresponding amino acid is attached (by aminoacyl-tRNA synthetases). tRNAs cope with the degeneracy of the genetic code in two manners: having more than one tRNA (with a specific anti-codon) for a particular amino acid; and 'wobble' base-pairing, i.e. permitting non-standard base-pairing at the 3rd anti-codon position. The record is from RNAcentral. RNAcentral also lists the same sequence under 1 other name. Lineage: Bacteria; Pseudomonadati; Atribacterota.